GAUGAAGAACGUAGCGAAAUGCGAUAAGUAAUGCGAAUUGCAGAAUUCAGUGAAUCAUCGAAUCUUUGAAUGCACAUUGCGCCCGCCAGUAUUCUGGCGGGCAUGCCUGUCUGAGCGUCGUUUCGACCCUCGCGCCCGGCUUCUGUCGGGGGCGGUGUUGGGGAUCGGCCACACCCUUCAGUGGGAGGCCGGCCCCUAAAUUCAGUGGCGACCACGCUGUAGCCUCCCCUGCGUAGUACUAAAACCACCUCGCAGGCGGAGAGCGGUGCGGCCCGCCGUAAAACCCCCCAACUUUUACAAGGUCGACCUCAGAUCAGGUAGGAAUACCCGCUGAACUUAAGCAUAUCAAUAAGCGGAGGA
RNAcentral lists this unclassified non-coding RNA (360 nucleotides) under soil metagenome. Its description in RNAcentral is "partial contains 5.8S ribosomal RNA, internal transcribed spacer 2, and large subunit ribosomal RNA". The stretch from base 1 to 120 matches the Rfam family "5.8S ribosomal RNA", at positions 35 to 154 of the family's 154-position model. The record is from RNAcentral.